GACGAACGCUGGCGGCGUGCUUAAUACAUGCAAGUCGAACGGAAAGGCGAUGCUUUUGCGGGGUGCUCGUGUGGCGAACGGGUGAGUAACACGCGAGUAUCAUGCACUUGUCUUUGGGAUAACUCCAGGAAACUGGGGCUAAUAUCGGAUAGGAGCUCCUGCAGCAUGGUGGGGGAUGGAAAGAUUCGGCGGUUGGGGAUGGACUCGCGGCUUAUCAGCUUGUUGGUGGGGUAGUGGCUUACCAAGGCUUUGACGGGUAGCCGGCCUGAGAGGGUGACCGGCCACAAUGGUACUAAGGUACGGCCCAGACUCCUACGUUAGGCAGCAGUGGGAAGUAUUGCACAAUGGGCGGAAGCCUGAUGCAGCAACGCCGCGUGCGGGAUGACGGCCUUCGGGUUGUAAACCGCUUUCGCCUGUGACGAAGCGUGAGUGACGGUAAUGAGUAAGAAAGCACCGGCUAACUACGUG
RNAcentral lists this ribosomal RNA (468 nucleotides) under uncultured bacterium. RNAcentral describes it as "partial 16S ribosomal RNA". It matches the Rfam family "Bacterial small subunit ribosomal RNA", at positions 28 to 507 of the family's 1533-position model. The record is from RNAcentral.